AUCGAACGCUGGCGGCAGGCCUAACACAUGCAAGUCGAGCGGAGCGGCGGACGGGCGAGUAAUGCCUAGGAAUCUGCCUGGUAGUGGGGGAUAACGUCCGGAAACGGGCGCUAAUACUGCAUACUAUCAGAUGAGCCUAGGUCGGAUUAGCCAGUGGGUGGGGUAAAGGCCUACCAAGGAGACGAUCCGUAACUGGUCUGAGAGGAUGUGCAGUCACACUGGAACUGAGACGCGGUCCAGACUGCUACGGGGGGCAGCUGUGGGGAAUAUUGCACAAGGUGCGCAAGCCAGAUGCAGCCAUGCCGGGUGUAUGAAGAAGGCUUUCGGGUUGUAAAGUACUUUCAGCGGGGAGGCGUUACCCGCAGAAGAAGCACCGGCUAACUCCGUGCCAGCCGCCGCGGUAAUU
Molecule: ribosomal RNA, 406 nt
Filed under: uncultured bacterium
Lineage: Bacteria
Description: partial 16S ribosomal RNA
Rfam family: Bacterial small subunit ribosomal RNA
Source: RNAcentral